AAUCAACGCUGGCGGCGUGCCUAACACAUGCAAGUCGCACGAGAAAGGGACUUCGGUCCUGAGUACAGUGGCGCACGGGUGAGUAACACGUGAAUAAUCUACCUUCGAGUGGGGAAUAACUGAGAGAAAUCUUAGCUAAUACCGCAUAAUACCUACGGGUCAAAGCAGCAAUGCGCUUGAAGAGGAGUUCGCGGCAGAUUAGUUAGUUGGCAGGGUAAUGGCCUACCAAGACGAUGAUCUGUAUCCGGCCUGAGAGGGCGCACGGACACACUGGAACUGAACACGGUCCAGACUCCUACGGGAGGCAGCAGUGGGGAAUUUU
Molecule: ribosomal RNA, 322 nt
Filed under: uncultured bacterium
Lineage: Bacteria
Description: bacterial SSU rRNA
Rfam family: Bacterial small subunit ribosomal RNA
Source: RNAcentral